UUGACGGGGCCCGCACAAGCGGAGGAGCAUGUGGUUUAAUUCGAUGAUACGCGAGGAACCUUACCUGGGCUCGAACGUAAGAUGACUGUAGGUGAAAGCUUACAUCUCUUCGGAGCAUUUUACGAGGUGCUGCAUGGUUGUCGUCAGCUCGUGCCGUGAGGUGUCGGGUUAAGUCCCAUAACGAGCGCAACCCCUACCUUUAGUUGCCAUCAGGUUAAGCUGGGGACUCUAAAGGAACUGCCUACGCAAGUAGUGAGGAAGGCGGGGAUGACGUCAAAUCAGCACGGCCCUUACGUCCAGGGCUACACACGUGCUACAAUGGCCGAUACAGAGGGCAGCUACCUGGUGACAGGAUGCAAAUCUCCAAAGUCGGUCUCAGUUCGGAUCGGAGUCUGCAACCCGACUCCGUGAAGUUAGAUUCGCUAGUAAUCGCGCAUCAGCCAUGGCGCGGUGAAUACGUUCCCGGGCCUU
RNAcentral lists this ribosomal RNA (471 nucleotides) under uncultured Sphingobacteriales bacterium. RNAcentral describes it as "bacterial SSU rRNA". It matches the Rfam family "Bacterial small subunit ribosomal RNA", at positions 910 to 1382 of the family's 1533-position model. The record is from RNAcentral. Lineage: Bacteria; Pseudomonadati; Bacteroidota; Sphingobacteriia; Sphingobacteriales.